RNAcentral lists this signal recognition particle RNA (90 nucleotides) under Yersinia frederiksenii. RNAcentral's name for it is "Bacterial small signal recognition particle RNA". It matches the Rfam family "Bacterial small signal recognition particle RNA". Rfam says of the family: The signal recognition particle (SRP) is a universally conserved ribonucleoprotein involved in the co-translational targeting of proteins to membranes. Archaeal SRP consists of a 7S RNA and homologues of the eukaryotic SRP19 and SRP54 proteins. Lineage: Bacteria; Pseudomonadati; Pseudomonadota; Gammaproteobacteria; Enterobacterales; Yersiniaceae. The record is from RNAcentral.
UUGGUUCUCCCGCAACACUAACUUGUGAACUCGGUCAGGUCCGGAAGGAAGCAGCCGUAGCAGGUGCGGUGUGUGCCGGGAUGUAGCUGG